GAGCCAACGUUGAAAUACCACCCUUUCUGUAUUCGGUGUCUAACCCCCCUGAGGGGGGGACAUUGUUUGAUGGGUAGUUUGACUGGGGUGGUCGCCUCCAAAAAGGUAACGGAGGCUUUCAAAGGUAAGCUCAGUACGCUUGGUAACCGUACGGGGAGUGCAAUAGCAUAAGCUUGCUUGACUGUGAGGCAUACAGGCCGAUCAGGGUCGAAAGAC
RNAcentral lists this ribosomal RNA (216 nucleotides) under Spumella elongata. RNAcentral's name for it is "partial Bacterial large subunit ribosomal RNA". It matches the Rfam family "Bacterial large subunit ribosomal RNA", at positions 2183 to 2407 of the family's 2925-position model. Lineage: Eukaryota; Chrysophyceae; Chromulinales; Chromulinaceae. The record is from RNAcentral.